RNAcentral lists this ribosomal RNA (1426 nucleotides) under uncultured Bordetella sp. RNAcentral describes it as "partial 16S-23S ribosomal RNA intergenic spacer". It matches the Rfam family "Bacterial small subunit ribosomal RNA". Lineage: Bacteria; Pseudomonadati; Pseudomonadota; Betaproteobacteria; Burkholderiales; Alcaligenaceae. The record is from RNAcentral.
AGUCGAACGGCAGCACGGACUUCCGGUCUGGUGGCGAGUGAACGGGUGAGUAAUGUAUCGGAACGUGCCCUAGUAGCGGGGGAUAACUACGCGAAAGCGUAGCUAAUACCACCUUCGCCCUUCGGGGGAAAGCGGGGGACCUUCGGGCCUCGCACUAUUAGAGCGGCCGAUAUCGGAUUAGCUAGUUGGUGGGGUAACGGCUCGCAAGGCGACGAUCCGUAGCUGGUUUGAGAGGACGACCAGCCACACCAGGACUGAGACACGGCCCAGACUCCUACGGGAGGCAGCAGUGGAAUUUUGGACAAUGGGAAACCUGAUCCAGCCAUCCCGCGUGUGCGAUGAAGGCCUUCGGGUUGUAAAGCACUUUGGCAGGAAAGAAACGGCACGGGAUAAUACCCCGUGCAACUGACAGUACCUGCAGAAUAAGCACCGGCUAACUACGUGCCAGCAGCCGCGGUAAUACGUAGGUGCAAGCGUUAAUCGGAAUUACUGGGCGUAAAGCGUGCGCAGGCGGUUCGGAAGAAAGAUGUGAAAUCCCAGAGCUUAACUUUGGAACUGCAUUUUUAACUACCGAGCUAGAGUGUGUCAGAGGGAGGUGGAAUUCCGCGUGUAGCAGUGAAAUGCGUAGAUAUGCGGAGGAACACCGAUGGCGAAGGCAGCCUCCUGGGAUAACACUGACGGCGCUCAUGCCACGAAAGCGUGGGGAGCAAACAGGAUUAGAUACCCUGGUUAGUCCACGCCUAAACGAUGUCAACUAGCUGUUGGGGCCUUCGGGCCUUGGUAGCGCAGCUAACGCGUGAAGUUGACCGCCUGGGGAGUACGGUCGCAAGAUUAAAACUCAAAGGAAUUGACAGGGACCCGCACAAGCGAUGGAUGAUGUGGAUUAAUUCGAUGCAACGCGAAAAACCCUUACCUACCCUUGACAUGUCUGGAAUCCCGAAGAGAUUUGGGAGUGCUCGCAAGAGAACCGGAACACAGGUGCUGCAUGGCUGUCGUCAGCUCGUGUCGUGAGAUGUUGGUUAAGUCCGCAACGAGCGCAACCCUUGUCAUUAGUUGCUACGAAAGGGCACUCUAAUGGGAACUGCCAGUGACAAACCGGAGGAAGGUGAGAUGACGUCAAGUCCUCAUGGCCCUUAUGGGUAGGGCUUCACACGUCAUACAAUGGUCGAGACAGAGGCUCGCCAACCCGCGAGGGAGCCAAUCCCAGAAACCCGAUCGUAGUCCGGAUCGCAGUCUGCAACUCGACUGCGUGAAGUCGGAAAUCGCUAGUAAUCGCGGAUCAGCAUGUCGCGGUGAAUACGUUCCGGGUCUUAACACCGCCCGUCACACCAUGGGAGUGGGUUUUACCAGAAGUAGUUAGCCUAACCGUAAGGAGGGCGAUUACCACGGUAGGAUUCAUGACUGGGGUGAAGUCGUAACAAGGUAA